Serinus canaria (Common canary) is the source of this 134-nucleotide small nucleolar RNA. Lineage: Eukaryota; Metazoa; Chordata; Aves; Passeriformes; Fringillidae. The record is from Ensembl.
CUGCAUACCAGUAGACCUUAUCUGGUUCUUCUAAUAGCCAGGUAAGGGGGAUGGUAUAUGCUACAAAAACCUGGGGCUGAUGUAGGUUAUGAUCAGCCUGAUGUGGCUGGUUGGACUGCAAUUCUCAGACAUAU